RNAcentral lists this ribosomal RNA (633 nucleotides) under uncultured bacterium. Its description in RNAcentral is "bacterial SSU rRNA". It matches the Rfam family "Bacterial small subunit ribosomal RNA", at positions 875 to 1500 of the family's 1533-position model. The record is from RNAcentral.
GGGAGUAACGGUCGCCAAGAUUAACACUCNAAGGAAUUGACGGGGGCCCGCACAAGCGGUGGAGCAUGUGGUUUAAUUCGACGCAACGCGCAGAACCUUACCAGCCCUUGACAUCCCGUGACCGGUNCCAGAGAUGGGCUUUCCCCGNCAAGGGGCACGGAGACCAGGUGCUGCAUGGCUGUCGUCAGCUCGUGUCGUGAGAUGUUGGGUUAAGUCCCGCAACGAGCGCAACCCUUGCCUUCAGUUGCCAUCAUUUAGUUGGGCACUCUGGAGGGACUGCCGGCGGCAAGCCGGAGGAAGGUGGGGAUGACGUCAAGUCCUCAUGGCCCUUACGGGCUGGGCUACACACGUGCUACAAUGGUGGCGACAGAGGGCACAAGCGAGAGCGCGAGCUUUAGCAAAUCCUCAAAAGCCAUCUCAGUUCAGAUUGCACUCUGCAACUCGGGUGCAUGAAGGUGGAAUCGCUAGUAAUCGCAGAACAGCAGGCUGCGGUGAAUACGUUCCCGGGCCUUGUACACACCGCCCGUCACACCAUGGGAGUUGGUUUGGCCUGAAGACGGUGCGCUAACCCGCAAGGGAGGCAGCCGGCCACGGUCAGGUCAGCGACUGGGGUGAAGUCGUAANCAAGGUACC